Molecule: ribosomal RNA, 497 nt
Filed under: uncultured bacterium
Lineage: Bacteria
Description: partial 16S ribosomal RNA
Rfam family: Bacterial small subunit ribosomal RNA
Source: RNAcentral
GAUGAACGCUGGCGGCGUGCCUAAUACAUGCAAGUCGAGCGAACAGACGAGGAGCUUGCUCCUCUGACGUUAGCGGCGGACGGGUGAGUAACACGUGGAUAACCUACCUAUAAGACUGGGAUAACUUCGGGAAACCGGAGCUAAUACCGGAUAAUAUAUUGAACCGCAUGGUUCAAUAGUGAAAGACGGUUUUGCUGUCACUUAUAGAUGGAUCCGCGCCGCAUUAGUUAGUUGGUAAGGUAACGGCUUACCAAGGCGACGAUGCGUAGCCGACCCGAGAGGGUGAUCGGCCACACUGGCUCUGAGACACGGUACAGACUCCUACGGGGGGCAGCAGUAGGGAAUCUUCCGCAAAGGGCGAAAGCCUGACGGAGCAACGCCGCGUGAGGGAUGAAGGUCUUCGGAUCGUAAAACUCUGUUGUUAGGGAAGAAGAAAUGUGUAAGUAACUAUGCACGUCUUGACGGUACCUAAUCAGAAAGCCACGGCUAACUACGUG